Transfer RNA from Xylona heveae TC161, 121 nucleotides. It matches the Rfam family "tRNA". Rfam says of the family: Transfer RNA (tRNA) molecules are approximately 80 nucleotides in length. Their secondary structure includes four short double-helical elements and three loops (D, anti-codon, and T loops). Further hydrogen bonds mediate the characteristic L-shaped molecular structure. tRNAs have two regions of fundamental functional importance: the anti-codon, which is responsible for specific mRNA codon recognition, and the 3' end, to which the tRNAs corresponding amino acid is attached (by aminoacyl-tRNA synthetases). tRNAs cope with the degeneracy of the genetic code in two manners: having more than one tRNA (with a specific anti-codon) for a particular amino acid; and 'wobble' base-pairing, i.e. permitting non-standard base-pairing at the 3rd anti-codon position. The record is from Rfam. Lineage: Eukaryota; Fungi; Ascomycota; Xylonomycetes; Xylonales; Xylonaceae.
GCCCGGGUGGCACAAUUGGUUAGCGCGUGAGACUUUUAAGUCUUGUCUUCUUCUUGUUCUCGAGGAGGGGGAAAGUCAAUAGGGAAUCUCAAGGUUGCGAGUUCGAUCCUCGCCUCGGGCG